This 917-nucleotide long non-coding RNA is filed under the name Homo sapiens (human). RNAcentral's name for it is "non-protein coding lnc-PPIL2-4:1". Lineage: Eukaryota; Metazoa; Chordata; Mammalia; Primates; Hominidae. The record is from RNAcentral.
UCACUGCAACCUCCACCUCCUGGGUGCAAUAGAUUGUCCUGCCUCAGCCUCCCAAGUAGCUGGGAUUACAGGCAUGUGCCACCAUGCACAGCUAAUUUUUUGGUACUUUUUAGUAGAAACGGGGUUUCACCAUGUUGGCCAGGCUGGUCUUGAACUCCUGACCUCAAGUGAUCCACCUGCCCCGGCCUCCCAAAGUGCUGGGAUUACAGGCGUGGUCACUGCGCCCAGCCUAUAUAACAUCUUUAUCUGGUUUUGGGAUUAAGGUAAUGCUGGCAAUCAUAGAAUGAGUUAUGAGUGAUUCCUCUGUUUCUAUUUUCUGGAAGAGAUUGUAGAGAAUUGAUUUUUUUUUUUUUUUUUUUUGAGACAGAGUCUCACUCUGUCACCCAGGCUGGAGUGCAGUGGUGCCAUCUCAGUUCACUUCAACCUCUGCCUCCUGGGUUCAAGUGAUUCUACUGCCUCAGCCUCCUGAGUAGCUGGGAUGACAGGCACCUGCCACCAGGGUUGGCGGGGGAUAGGUGUGCUGAUGGUGCAGGGGUGGGUGUGUGGGACUCCAUGUACUAUCUGCUUAAUUACUCUGUAAAAAGCGGUACUAAAAGAGUAAAAUCUACUUUAAAAAUAGAGAGAUGAGCAAGAGGGGAGGAAUGACCAGGUUUGCUGAAGAGAGAGGCUUGACAAUGGAAUGUUAAUUACAACCUUCAAGAUUUAACAUUACAGUCCUGGAGAGCCAAACAUUCGUAAAUGCAGUGCAAGGUCUACUUGUGCAGAGUGAACAGAUGAAAGCAUCAAUGGCAGGAGGUAAAAUGAAAGAUUUCUGUGGACAGAAACGUCCUGGAGUUCUCGGCACCUGCAUGUAGCCUCCCCACUGCUGGCUGACAUGGCAUUUUUUCUUUUAAAGAGAGUGGGUCUUGCUCUGUUGC